AAAUCUGGAGUAAGCUGGGUUGAUAUGCACAUAUUAGCACAUAGAGUGAUUCUUGAGUCACUAAAGAAGGGACACAUUGUUGUGGGCAAUGUUGUUGACAUGAUGGAUGCACACUUGGGUCCUGUUUUUAUGCCGCAUGGUCUAGGGCAUUUCCUUGGUUUAGAUACACAUGACCCUGGGGAUUUUUGUGGAUUUUUGUUCAG
This is a non-coding RNA of Cicer arietinum (chickpea), 203 nucleotides long. The record is from RefSeq and is a predicted model, not a curated record. Lineage: Eukaryota; Viridiplantae; Streptophyta; Magnoliopsida; Fabales; Fabaceae.